This 65-nucleotide transfer RNA is filed under the name Lepidonotus sp. YZ-2018. RNAcentral's name for it is "tRNA-Arg". Lineage: Eukaryota; Metazoa; Annelida; Polychaeta; Phyllodocida; Polynoidae. The record is from RNAcentral.
AGAAAUGAGCAACUAAUGCAUUUCGGUUUCGGCCCGAUUUCUUGAGGCAAGCCCUCACUUUUCUU